RNAcentral lists this ribosomal RNA (253 nucleotides) under uncultured prokaryote. RNAcentral's name for it is "partial 16S ribosomal RNA". It matches the Rfam family "Bacterial small subunit ribosomal RNA", at positions 524 to 776 of the family's 1533-position model. The record is from RNAcentral.
UACAGAGGGUGCAAGCGUUGUUCGGAAUUACUGGGCGUAAAGGGUGCGUAGGCGGUCUGUUAAGUUGGAUGUGAAAACUCUGGGCUCAACCCAGAGCCUGCAUCCAAAACUAGCAGGCUAGAGUUCUGGAGGGGGUAGCGGAAUUCCUGGUGUAGCGGUGAAAUGCGUAGAUAUGUCACAGAACACCGAUUGCGAAGGCAGCUUACUAAAGUGUGAUUGACGCUGAGGCACGAAAGCGUGGGGAUCAAACAGG